This 411-nucleotide ribosomal RNA is filed under the name Bacteroidota bacterium. Its description in RNAcentral is "Bacteroidetes bacterium partial 16S ribosomal RNA". It matches the Rfam family "Bacterial small subunit ribosomal RNA", at positions 355 to 776 of the family's 1533-position model. The record is from RNAcentral. Lineage: Bacteria; Pseudomonadati; Bacteroidota.
UGGGGAAUAUUGCGCAAUGGGGGAAACCCUGACGCAGCGACGCCGCGUGCGGGAUGAAGGCCUUCGGGUUUUAAACCGCUUUUGAUUGGGAGCAAGCUUUCGGGUGAGUGUACCUUUCGAAUAAGCGCCGGCUAACUACGGGCCAGCAGCCGCGGUAAUACGUAGGGCGCAGGCGUUAUCCGGAAUUAUUGGGCGUAAAGAGCUUGUAGGCGGUUCGUCGCGUCUGGUGUGAAAGCCCAUCGCUUAACGGUGGGUUUGCGCCGGGUACGGGCGGGCUAGAGUGCAGUAGGGGAGACUGGAAUUCCCGGUGUAACGGUGGAAUGUGUAGAUAUCGGGAAGAACACCAAUGGCGAAGGCAGGUCUCUGGGCUGUUACUGACGCUGAGAAGCGAAAGCGUGGGGAGCGAACAGG